RNAcentral lists this transfer RNA (72 nucleotides) under Danionella translucida. It matches the Rfam family "tRNA". Rfam says of the family: Transfer RNA (tRNA) molecules are approximately 80 nucleotides in length. Their secondary structure includes four short double-helical elements and three loops (D, anti-codon, and T loops). Lineage: Eukaryota; Metazoa; Chordata; Actinopteri; Cypriniformes; Danionidae. RNAcentral also lists the same sequence under 1 other name. The record is from Rfam by way of RNAcentral.
GGCUUGUUGGUCUAGUGGUAUGAUUCUCGCUUUGGGUGCGAGAGGUCCAGGGUUCAAAUCCUGGAUGAGCCU